Molecule: long non-coding RNA, 435 nt
Organism: Orbicella faveolata
Lineage: Eukaryota; Metazoa; Cnidaria; Anthozoa; Scleractinia; Merulinidae
Source: RefSeq, a predicted model, not a curated record
UGGGUUCUUGUUGUGACCUGGUACAAGCUCUGUCCAUACGCUUACGACAACAACUGUCGUUGGAGUAACACUUUUCAAGCUGUCAUAAUUACGGAUGGAUUUAACACAUUUUUGAUGUACAACUACCCUUAUGGUGGAAUUGAGUGGGUGAUUCCAGCGGAUCCGGAUGAUUACCGUUACUGGACUGGUUACUACGGUCUUCCUGUCGCUGGCUGGAACGCAGGAAAUGAUGGAAAAGAUUAUCACAACCACGCAGCGUGAGAAGUUAAAUUUACGUUUAUAUUAGUGUGGUGAAGAACAGCAGCGUUAGAGAGAGUUUACACAUAAGGACAAUGCUAUAUUUAUUCUAUCGUUGUGUCGUCUACUACAAUGAAACUCUUAUGCUGUGCUAACUGCAGUCGUCCUACAUUACAAAAAUGAAACUUUUUACACAAG